UACGGGGGGGGCAAGCGUUGUUCGGAAUUACGGGGCGGAAAGGGCUCGUAGGCGGCCAACUAAGUCAGACGUGAAAUCCCUCGGCUUAACCGGGGAACUGCAUCUGAUACUGGAUGGCUUGAGUUCGGGAGAGGGAUGCGGAAUUCCAGGUGUAGCGGUGAAAUGCGUAGAUAUCUGGAGGAACACCGGUGGCGAAGGCGGCAUCCUGGACCGACACUGACGCUGAGGAGCGAAAGCCAGGGGAGCAAACGGG
This 253-nucleotide ribosomal RNA is filed under the name uncultured bacterium. RNAcentral's name for it is "partial 16S ribosomal RNA". It matches the Rfam family "Bacterial small subunit ribosomal RNA", at positions 524 to 776 of the family's 1533-position model. The record is from RNAcentral.